GUGUAAUUAUGAACGAAUUCAGACUGUGAAACUGCGAAUGGCUCAUUAAAUCAGUUAUAGUUUGUUUGAUGGUAACUACUACUCGGAUAACCAUAGUAAUUCUAGAGCUAAUACAUGCAACAAACCCCGACUUCUGGAAGGGAUGUAUUUAUUAGUUAAAAGGUCGACGCGGGCUCUUUGAAGGGACCCGACCCAUUUUUUCGUACCAUCAGUACGAGUCUGGUUCGACUUCCUCGAUCAGACUUGGGCUGUUUUCCUAUUUUUCUUUACUUAGAAUUAUUUCCGAGUUUUAGUUCAUUUUCAGACAAUCAAGCAAGCAUAAUAAGAUUUGAAUAGAUUAACUGAG
Molecule: non-coding RNA, 346 nt
Filed under: Brassica napus (rape)
Lineage: Eukaryota; Viridiplantae; Streptophyta; Magnoliopsida; Brassicales; Brassicaceae
Also listed under: 1 other name
Description: Eukaryotic small subunit ribosomal RNA
Rfam family: Eukaryotic small subunit ribosomal RNA
Source: Rfam by way of RNAcentral